Molecule: long non-coding RNA, 677 nt
Organism: Branchiostoma floridae (Florida lancelet)
Lineage: Eukaryota; Metazoa; Chordata; Leptocardii; Amphioxiformes; Branchiostomatidae
Exons: 4
Source: RefSeq, a predicted model, not a curated record
UCACAUUUACAAGUACCCAAGCCAGAUAUGCCUUUCAGUUGCUUAACCUUAAAAUCUGCUGAAAUUUUUCCAUCGUUUUAUAAAUUUGUAUGAGUAACUGGAACUCUGCCUAGUAAAUAACUGUUUUUGUGCUGUUAAGUUACUAUCUAAAAUCUAAUAGUCCAAACAUCUUGAGACAAGAUCUGCGUUUUAUCCUAACGAUGGACAUGCAUCAUUCCCCUCCUUAGUGGACAUAAAAGGUACGCUGCAAGAUGACCUACUCGACGGCUACAGUGCAGACCAGGCGCCUGAUGCUGAGAACCACACAGUUAUCAUCUUCAGUGGCAAUGUGGAACAGAUCAUCGACCUUGACGAAAAGAAGGAGCUUCUGGUUGCCUCCCUAGUCUUUAAAUUCACCUGGCAGGACAGCCGGCUGAAGUGGAACUCAAAGUACUACGGGAACGAGAAGACCCUCAGGGUCCCGGGCAGCAGCAUCUGGACCCCUACACUUACUCUGAAGAGGAAUGUCGAUCCUUUGUACCAAGGCUUGCCUAAGGACGUGCCGCUCGUGAUCAGCACCGAUGGAACGGUAACAUGGACGGUGGAGACUCUGACCAGCACCAUCUGUAAUGCAAACCCGUUCCUCUUCCCAGCCGACACCAUGGAAUGUAACAUCUGUUUCUCCAUAUCAUCGCAAA